ACUGCAUUGUGGUCAAUUUUUUGAAAAGAAAAACAGUAAAGUGUGAAAGAGAAAGAGGAAAAUUGCAAAGUGUGAGAAAAAAGCAAAGAGAGGAAAGAGGAAAAAGAACUAAGUGUGAAAAAAACAAAGUGUAAGUGGACAGAGGAAAAAGAACAAAGUGUGAAAAUAGCAAAGUGUGAGACAAGAGGAAAAAGAACACUGCUUUCCUCAUGUGUUUGUUUGUUUGUUUCAGAUGCUGAGAGACCAAGCGGUGGACGUCCAGAGAGCAGAGAUGCUGAGAGACCCAGCGGUGGACGUCCAGAGAACAGAGAUGCUGAGAGAGCAAGCGGUGGACGUCCAGAGAACAGAGAUGCUGAGAGACCAAGCGGUGGACGUCCAGAGAGCAGAGGGGGUGGCAGGUUGACAGAGAAAGACAGAGUGGUCGACAUGUUGAAGACAACCGAGCUGAUUGUUUGUGUUCUGGAGCUGCCACAGACUUGCUGUGGAAGCACUUCUUCUUCUUCUUCUUCUUCUUCUUCUUCUUCUUCUUCUUCUUCUUCUUCUUCUUCUUCUUCUUCUUCUUCUUCUUCUUCUUCUUCUUCUUCUUCUUCUUCUUCUUCUUCUUCUUCUUCUUCUUCUUCUUCUUCUUCUUCUUCUUCUUCUUAAUGGAAUUUCAGCCUAAAUAAAAAAAAAAAAAAAAAAAAAAAAAAAAGAGUCCAAACUGCAUUGUGGUCAAUUUUUUGAAAAGAAAAACAGUAAAGUGUG
This is a long non-coding RNA of Amphiprion ocellaris (clown anemonefish), 744 nucleotides long. The record is from Ensembl. Lineage: Eukaryota; Metazoa; Chordata; Actinopteri; Pomacentridae.